GUGGGUAUAGCUGAGUGGUAAAGCACAUGCUUGACAUGCAUGACAUCCUGGGUUCAAUCCCCAGUGCCUCUA
Non-coding RNA from Vicugna pacos (alpaca), 72 nucleotides. NCBI's taxonomy places the organism in Eukaryota, Metazoa, Chordata, Mammalia, Artiodactyla, Camelidae. The record is from the annotation of a RefSeq genome assembly.